This 147-nucleotide small nucleolar RNA is filed under the name Physeter macrocephalus (sperm whale). The record is from RNAcentral. Lineage: Eukaryota; Metazoa; Chordata; Mammalia; Artiodactyla; Physeteridae.
ACAGUUCACUGGAUAUAAGGUGAUCAACCACUGGCCGAUGAACUCACAAGUGUAGGUAGUGUGCUACAUGAGGGGCAAGUUUUUCGCUAACAUCACAAGGGUCUCUGGCCCAAUGAGUGGAGUUUGAUGGUAAUACUUGCUACAAUG